GCCUCUGCAGCACCUCAGUAGCUUGCUUGUGCCUCAGCCCUCAGGUCUUUAUAGGAGACAAGCUCUCUAUCUUCAGGGUCCUCCCUGUGCUGUGCUGAAUAGCACAACCCCCACCUAACACAAGGACAACUUUGGGGGUCUCUAUACCUGUCUGGGGGUGCUUUUCCCUUGGCCCUCUGCAUUUGGGACAAAGCCUUUUGCCCAGUUGUUCUUCCAGGAGCCCAGGGGCGGGCUGGUGCUCUCCUCUUCCCAGGGAGGGGGAUGUGGGGGGGGCAGCUGCUCUGUCUCUAGCUGUUAAGCAGCUCUGAGCCCUCUUGGUUUUUUCCCUUCCCCCCUCUUCUCUUUUUUUUUAUGGCCCCUUUGCCAGUUGUAGGGAGAAGCCUCUUAAUGCAAAGCACCCUGCUCUUUUUCUGUUGGAAUGGUGGCUACCUGGCCAGUGCUGGUUGCCCUGCAGAAGUGGGAGCUGCAGAAGCAGCUGCAGCAGGGCUGAGGGGCUCUCAAGCUGCACAGCUAGGCUUGACUCCUAUUCUGUAACUGUGAGACCACACAAUUCCCUUUAGUUUUCAGAGUCUAGGGGCUUUCCCUGUGAAAUGGGAGAUGAGAGAUUUUCUCUCACCAGCUUGAGGUGAGGAUUUAAGGAGAUGAGAGUAGCUUAGCCUUCACCAGACACUUUAUAAACGCUUGUGGAGUCAGCAGUGGGACCCAGGAGGAGGGUGAUGUGUAGCAAGUGUCAUAAGACCCCAUGCUGCAUACACACUGCAAUAUCUCCUGUCAGAGCCCCCUCUGCUGGCUUAAUUGCACAAAUCAAGCCUGUCAGAGGCAGCCCUUAGCCUGGGGAGUUAAGGGAAGAUGUGGCGGCAGCAGAAAUGCCAGGCAGAGCCCAUAUCUGCAUUUACUAGCAUUUGCAUGGUAUAUAACAGCAUUUGGGAAAAGUGGACAGGCAGAGAGAGAUGUUACCUUCUUGUUACUCCCUUAAAGGGCCAGAUAAGAUAGGGAGGUUUAGGAAGAGAAGCCAUAAAGCUCAGGGCAUCCCCUUAACUGGGAAACGGCUAACACUCCAUUCAUUUACACUACCAGACAUCGCAGCACACUGACCUCCCGUGUCCCUAGAGUGAGGAUAGGGCUAAAGUGAUGAUGUCAGUUGGCCGGGCGGCCGAUCGCUCGGUCUGUCAGUCAGUCGGUCGGUCGAUCGGUCGGUCGGUCAGUCGGCUUCCUGUCUUCGUACUACAAUCAUCUUGAGGAGAAAACAAUCAGGGAGUAGUACACCACACAAGGGUGUUAGCAAUAGGGACAUCAGCCCAGAAUUCAUUUAGAAAACCUCAAAAAUAAGAGUCUCCUGAUCUACAUUGGGCUGAAGAAGAAACUGAGGCACAAAAGGUCAAGUUCCAUAACGUCUCUCAGCUGGUGUGAGGUUGAGCCAGGAUGAAACCCAGGGCUUUCCAAGGCUCCCCACCACACCCUGCUGCUGAAGACUGCCUAGCAAGAUUGUGCCGAAUGCUGGGGGCAUGAUGUGGGUGGGCAGAAGAUGGAUUGAACCUCCCAGCACACUUGAGAUCUCAGCUCUUUCAUGGCCCAAUCCUUUUGAAGGGCAGGGUCAAAAUUAGGUGUAAGCAUCUAUAGUUAGAGGCUAAUGAAGGUAGUGUUAUUAACCUGAUGAGAAAAGGAUCCCUAUUUAUCAGUAAUCAAAUUUAGGGUAGAAAGUGGGGGCAUGGGGCUUGUUGGUACAGAGGUGAGUUAGAAAGAACAAAAUGUUCUGGGGCUCUGGUGAGCUUUCUGUUGGAAAGUGUCAGCUCUGAGUAGCUGGGGCUUAGGGCUGGGAAUAGAGACCUCCUAAGGCAGGGUCCUCAUCUCAGGGAAGUGCCCUACAUUGAACAUUAUGGUGGGUGGGGGACCCUAGCACCUCAGACAAAAACCGGGAAUCUGAGCCUCCUCUCAUCUCAAUUUCCCAUUUGUAAGAGAAAAAUAAAAACCAAGCAUCAAUCUAAGAGGGUAUUCCACUUAUGUGUGAGAGAAAGGGGCACCAAGCAUCAUUCUAAGAGAUAAUUCCACUCCUGUGUGAGAAAAAAAGGCACCAAGCAUCACUCUAAGAGAUAAUUCCACUGCUGUGUGAGACAAAGAGGCACCAAGCAUCAUUCUGAGAGAUAAUUCCACUCCUUUGUGACAGAAAGGGGCUCCCAACAUCAUCCUAAGAGACAAUUCCACUCCUGUGUGAGAAAUGGGAACACCUAGCAUCAUUGUAAGAGAUGACCCACUCCUGUGUGAGAGAAGGGGGCACCUAGCAUCAUUCUAGAGAUGACCCACUCCUGUGUGGGAGAAAGGGGUACCUAGCAUCAUUCUAAGAGACAAUUCCACUCCUUUAUGAGAGAAGGAGGUACCUAGCAUCAUUCUAAGACACAAUUCCACUCCUGUGUGAGAGAAAGGGGCACCUAGAAUCAUUUGAAGAGAUGACCCACUGCUCUGUGAGAGAAAGGGGUACAUUUCUACUCCUAUGUGAGACAAAGGGGUACCUAGCAUCAUUCUAAGAGAAGACCCACUCCUGUGUGGGAGAAAGGGCACCUAGCAUCAUUUUUGAGACAAUUCCAUUCCCUUGUGAGAGGAAGAAGCACCUAGUAUCAUUCUAAGAGACAAUUAAACUUGUGUGUCAGAGAAAGGGGUACUUAGCAUCAUUCUAAUAGAUCAUUACACUCCUGUGUGAGAGAAAGGGGCACCUAGCAUCAUUCGAAGAGAUGACCCACUGCUCUGUGAGAGAAAGGGCACCUAGUAUCAUUCUAAGAGACAAUUAAACUUGUGUGUCAGAGAAAGGGGUACUUAGCAUCAUGUUAAGAGACAAUUCUACUCAUGUGUGAGAGAAAGGGGUAUCUAGAAUCAUUUUAAGAGAUGACCAACUCCUUUGUAAAAAAAAAAAAGGCACCUAACAUCAUUCUAAGAGACAAUUUCAUUCAUGUGUGAGAGAAAGGGGUACUUAGCAUCAUUCUAAGAGAAGACCCACUCCUGUGUGGGAGAAAGGAGCACCUAGCAUCAUUUUUAAGACAAUGCCAUUCUCCUGUGAGAGGAAGGAGCACCUAGUAUCAUUCUAAGAGACAAUUAAACUUUUGUGUCAGAGAAAGGGGUACUUAGCAUCAUGUUAAGAGACAGUUCCACUCCUGUGUGAGAGAAAGGGCACCAAGCAUCAUUCUAAGAGACAAUUCCACUCGUGUGUCAGAGAAAGGGCUACCUAGCAUCAUGUUAAGAGACAAUUCCACUCAAGCGUGAGAAAAAGGGGCACCGCAUAUCAUUCUAAGAGAUGACCCACUGCUUUGUGAGAGAAAGGGGUACUUAGCAUCAUUCUAAGAGAUGACCCGUUCCCUCAUGAGAGAAAGGGGCACCUCACAUCAUUGUAAGAGAUGAUCCACUCCUGUGUCAGAGAACGGGGGACCAAGCAUCAUUCUAAGGGACAUAUCUAAACCUGUGUGAGAGAAAGGGGUACUUAGCAUCAUUCCAAGAGACAAUUCCACUGCUGUGUGAGAGAAGGGGGUACCUAGCAUCAUUUAAGAGACAAUUCCACUGCUGUUUGAAAGAAAGGGAUAUGUAGCAUCAUUCCAAGAGACAAUUCCACUCCUGUCUGAGCGAAAAGGGUACUUAGCAUCAUUGUAAGUGAUGACCCACUCCUGUGUCAGAGAAAUGGUCACCAAGCAUCAUUCUAAGAGACAAUUCCUCUCCCGUGUGAGAGAAGGGGGCACCUAGCAUCAUUCUAAGAAACAAAUCCACUCCUGUGUGAGAGAAAUUGUAACCAAGCAUCAUUCUAAGAAACAGUUACACUCCUGUGUGAGAGAAAUAGAAACCGAGCAUCAUUCUAAAAGACAAUUCCACUCCUGUGUUUGAGGUGGGGGCGCCUAGCAUCAUUCUAAGAGAUGACCCACUCCUGUGUUAGAGAAGAGGGCACCUAGCAUCAUUCUAAGGGACAAUUUCACUCCCGUGUGAGAGUAAUAGUAACCAAGCAUCAUUCUAAGAUACAGUUGCACUCCUGUGUGAGAGAAAUUUUAACCAAACAUCAUUUUAAGAUACAGUUCCACUCCUGUGUGAGAGAAAUUGUAACCAAGCAUCAUUCUAAAAGACAAUUCCACUCCUGUGUUACAGAAAGAGGCACCAAGUAUCAUUCUAAGCAACAUUUCCACUCCUGUGUUUGAGGUGGGGGCGCCUAGCAUCAUUCUAAGAGAUGACCCACUCCUGUGUUAGAGAAGAGGGCACCUAGCAUCAUUCUGAGAAAGAAUUCCACUCCUGUGUGAGAGAAAGGGGCACCAAGCAUCAUUCUAAGGGACAAUUUCACUCCCGUGUGGGAGAAAGGGGCACCAA
Peromyscus maniculatus bairdii (prairie deer mouse) is the source of this 4332-nucleotide non-coding RNA. The record is from RefSeq and is a predicted model, not a curated record. Lineage: Eukaryota; Metazoa; Chordata; Mammalia; Rodentia; Cricetidae.